CUAGGUUUUGUUUUGGAAUAUAGGCCUAGCUAUAAUUUUCAGAAAAUUGUAAAGUCAACUUUACUUUGAAAAACUAUCCUUCCAUACUACAUAAACUGAAAGUUUCAUCUGCUGCAAAAUAAAGAAAUCUUGGGCAUUACUUUAACUUACCAUGUUGUGAUGAUCACAAGAACUUUACGUACACCCGGCCCAAAACGUCUGGACAUGCCGUUCUUGCAGGAUGUCACCUUCCUUAUAUAUUCCGUGAUUCUGGACUCCGGUCCUCAUUCCACUCAACCACGGAAUAUUUAGCAAUUUAUGCAAAAUAACCUCCGAAAUAUUGCGACAGUCUAAUCACUUUGAAAAUGGCAGCGUCACACAUUCAACCAAUCAAAUUUGAGAGCUACAGAUUUUGGAACUUCGACCAAUCGCGUGAAAGUACGAAGACGGCCGAAAAUUCUAGUCUUGUAUUUAUCUUUCGUAAAUAUGCUGUUAUUAUCUCGUUUGUUUAAAUUUUCUGCUAUUAGAAACUAAUUCAUAAUUCAUAGCUGUUUUUUUAAAACAAAUACUAAGAAUAUAAUAAUUUAAAAUUGAUUACGGAGUCACCCGAACUCUAUCUACAGUCACUUCCGCUUCCAUAUUUUGAAAUCGUCGAUCUGUGAACAUUGUGAGGAAAGGAAAGCAAAACAAUGGGAGAAACACGUGGAGAGUAUACAAUCUAUUUUGUGGACAACUUGUUAAAGGCUCCUAGAGUAUUCUUAUGGGGUAUGCGACGUGUAUAACACUGGAAGAAGCAGUCCUACCAAACUUGAAAAGCCACGAGGUCGAGUGGUAAUGGCGCGCCCGUGCCGAUGAACUUGCACGUUGUUUUCACAAUCGGUUUUCCCAACUGCCGACUAUUCCUUGUCAGAUAAUCCUAAAAAUCCGGGAGAUAUAGCAUAGCCUAUCUAACUUUGAAGUUUGAGGAAGCAGACUGACUUUGAAGACGACAAUGAUGUUGAUUGAAUAAUACCAGGAUGCAGCAUUGCAGAAAGUAAUGACGGUAUCUGACAUGUCUUAUGCCAAUCAAUUCCUCCAGAAGAUGACACAAACUUUAAAUUAUGGAAGUUGCGAGCAAGAAUUUUUCAAGGGAAUGUCAGAUGGAGAAGAAACAUAAGUCAACAAGACAGUGUAAAAUGAUAAAGUAUCUGUAAUAGGUGCUUACCAUAUUCUGCCUAUUGUGGAUUCAGUGAUGGUUUUUCAAACGAACUAUGCUCAUCAACCAAAUGUCCUUAAAAUUUGUGGAGUGCAGAGCCACUUUCAGGCGAGACAGUAGUGUGGUUCAUUUUAGUGGACAUGAUUUUAGACGAGAUGUGCUUUGUGAAACUUGAAACAUUGUUCAUUCAUCAUAGUGUAAUGAGAACUGUUGUGGUCCAUCAUUCUAUGCUUUAGUGAAGUAAUGGAGAUAAUGUGAAGUACAUGUGUAAAUGCUCAUAUUCUGCACAACAUAUUUUUCAGUGACAUUAUUUCUUUGAGACCAAGCUCUGGACAGUUGAUAGCCAUUUAUGUGUAGGACUUUAUUUAUUUUUCUGUGUGUGCAAUAGCAACUGCCACUUGCAGUAAACCCAAACAAAGUGGAGAAAUAAUUUGUUGAGUUCAGAGAUUACAAUUUUUAUUGUGUUAUUUUGAUGAGAAGAUAGUAUUAAUAAGGUACAAUGGUACAUUGUAUCUUAUUGAAAAGCUUAUUUAAGAGUUAUCAGUAGAAUUAGACUGCAUGACAAUUAUUAGAAUGGGAAACCUAGAUGAAGUCAAAAGAAACUAUACUGUAUUUUACAGACUGUCCUGGAAAUAUGCAAUAAAUAAUGUCUCCAGUGUUAUUUAGAAGUAUACUUCCUUAUUAUUUCAUUAUGCAUGCAACUGAUAAAGUUGUCUAAACUUAAAAGUUUGAAAUCUUUACUGUGAAGUUGAGAAGCUAAAUCUUGCAUCAUGUUUUCCACAAGUUAUAAGUUUUAUAUUUCAAUUUAAAAAUUAGUCAAUUUUUAUACAAUGAAAAUCACUGGGAGUUUUUUUUAAGUCCAAUUAUAAUACAAAAUUAAUACAUAUAAAAUCAAAGAUUUGGAUUAAAAAUGACUAAGUUAAAAAAAAUACAAUUAUAAUACAGUGAAAAAUCACUGAAAUUUUUUUAAGUCCAAUUAUAAUACAAAAUUAAUACAUAUAAAUUCAAAGAUUUGGAUUAAAAAUGACUAAGUUUUUAAAAAAAUACAAUUUUAAUACAGUGAAAAUGACUAAGUUUAAUUUUGAUACAAAAAUAAUAUGCUAGAAAAAAAACUAAGUCCCUAUAAAUACAAAAAUAAUAUAUUGAAAAUAAUCUAAGUCCAAAAUGAUACAAAAAUAAUACCCUUUAAAAAAUCAAAGUCAGAAUUUAAUAUAAAAAUGAGUUACCCAUUUUUUUUGUGAUACAAAAAUAAUAUAUUUUUUUUGUAUUAUUUCAAAAAAGUACAAAAAUGACUGUAUUAAUAAUAUAUUAAAAAUAUACUUUUAUGUAUUAUUUUUCCAUAUGGGUAAGGCAACAUAACAUAUAAGUCCACAUAACAUAUGUAAAGCAACAAAACAUAUAAGUCAAUAUGACACAUAUAAGUCAACAUAACAUAUAAAGGCAACAAAACAUAUAAGUCAACAUAACGCAUAUAAGUCAACAUAAGGCCAUAAUAAAAAAAUUUACUAGAUUUUUAAAAUUUUCAUUUUUUAGGCCAUGCCAAUUUGUAAUCAAGUUUGUUGGAUUCGCCGCUAUAAAUAAAUCCAAAUUAUGAUAUUAUCAAAAAAUAAUAUCCGCCCGCGUGUUCAAAUAUAUCUGCGUAAAAUAUUUUCGACUUUUUACAACAAGCGCAGAAAUGACCUUGAUGCAUGUGGCUGACAAUUGACAGAAGCGCUGGCUCUCGAGAAAUUUCCUAACAGUGUAAUACGGUGGUUUAAGUUAUUCGUGAUGUCUAUCUUAAUAUGUAUUCUAUUACAUAUCGCCUUUCGGCUCUGCAAGGGUAUCAUAUAGCAUUAUCUCCGAGUGCAGCAAGGCAUAUCUCACUUCAAAGAAGUUUAAAAAAUGACCAGUGUGACGUAUACACACCUGUGUUUAGUGGUAUAUAAACCACAGCUCCACGUGCCGAAGUCAUUCUUUUUCUCUGAGCGGCGUGAGUGUUUACCUGUAAGACAGGUGUGUCGCUACUAUCAAAGGUAUUGUUAGAAACUUAGAACGUUGUUCAAGUUGGCUUUUUUGGGGGAGUGUUUUUUGUCAGCUGUAAAACAGCUAAAUUAUUUAAUAAUCUUUUGAAAGGUAAGUUAACUUUGUGUGAGUUGUAUUUAUUGCCAUAAUGACAGCAGAAAAUCAGGACGAUGUCCUAUCUCUCAUGGGUAGCGACCAUGAUAAUUAUUCUGAUAUUGAGGAUUUAUUUGGAGAUAAGCUUCAUACAAGGAGUACGGAUGGGGUAGGUAAGAAAACAAGAGGAAUGAAGCUUAAAACGCAGACCUCAACUUGUUCAACAAGUGCUAAUGCACCGCCGACACGGGCGUGUAAACAAAGUAAAAUGGCUAAAAGCCAGUCAGAAUCUGUUCAAGAGAUAAAUGUCCAAGAACUGAAAAAUCAGCUUGGCAUCGUUAAGAUAUUACAAUCGAUAUCGUCUCUUACAGAUACAGUACGGCCAGCGCGGAUCCCGUAUUUUUCGCGCUCCCCCUGCGGGAUAGAGCUACUGCGGUAUAUCUCAGGUAACCCUGCAUAUCCCGCGGUCCUUGCCGCGGUCUCACCUGUAGAUGAUUAAUGCCAUCAACAAACGCGAGUUAUCUCCCGUUAACGUAAAAAAAAAAUAUACUGAUCAUAAACUGAAAACAGAUCGUUUGUUCAGCAAUACUAUAAAUAAAUCAUUAAAUUGCCAUAUACAUGUGCAUGCAUCACAUGUAAAACACAUUUUACAAAAACUUCUCAUGUUAACUUUAUUGAACCACACAUUCAAUAUAAGGGUAGAUUACCAUAUACCAAUGUCGGAAGAUGACCAUAUACAAGUGCAUAUAUAUACGCUUUAUCCGUAAAACGGCAAAGGUAACUUCACGAAAACUGAUUAUUCCUGUCGGUAUCAAUCACAUAUUGUUUUUCAGGAAUUUAAUUCUAUACAAUGUAUUUGUACAAAUAUUUAAAAAGAAAACAUGGAUAACAUAAAUUUAUAUCAAAGUAGGGAAAGGAAAACCUUGCAUCAGCAAAUUCUAAUCUUUAUAAAAUUUGAGAGAGAGAGAGGGGGGGGGGGGGAGAGAGACAGAGAGAGAGUACUAUUUAACAUAGCUGACUGGACUGUGAAGAAACGGUCAUGGGUAUACCGGUAUGUGUAUAUCUGUUACAUAACCCUAAAUAUUUGAUGAACCUAUAUUUGACCUUUUCCAAGAAAAAUGCUGGACAAAAUUCCUUUUGAGAAACAGAAAAUCGGCCCUAUUUUCCGACCGGAAGUGAAUUUUGUAAAAACAAAAAUAAUUAUAGCAAGGCAAUUUCAUAAGACAUUAUUCCUGAAAAUUUCGAGAAAAUAUAUCCAGCCAUCUCUGAGAAAUCCCUCGAAGAAAUUGGGAAAUCGACAUUUUUUCAAAUACUUCCGGUAUUGACGGUAUUGAGACGGAAGACCUUAACUAGACACUCAUUACUGUUAAUGAGUAGGUCUUCCGUUUGAACACUUCCGGUACAUAGCUUUCUGUUCUUACGAGAAUCAUUCAAAUAUAUCAGAGAAUGUGCCUUUUCAAGACAUGAGAGGUGUGUUAAUGAAGUUUUCACCCAUUUGUCGUAACUUCCGGUGACGACCGGAAGUAAUAUUCAGAUGUGUUUUCCCAUAAACCACAGCGACUCUCUAUUGUCUAUAUUUCCUGAAAGUUUCACGUCUCUAUUUGAAAGAGUUCUCAAGAAAAAGAAGCAGACUAAAGAAAGAAAAAGUAGUGGCUUACUACCGACCGGAAGUGAAUUUUGAAAAAUAAAAUUGUCUUAACUCAGGAUGUUGAUACUGUUCUUAAGAUAUUUGAAAAUCAUAUCAAACACUUGAAAUAUAAACAAGAUUUAUGGGGGGCACAAAGACGAAAGGUAGAAGAGUAUUUUAUCGAGAAACCGGAAGUAGCCGUUUUGACUACCGAGGGGGUAAACAUUCUUUGAAUACUUUGAAAGAGACUUAAUAAACUAGUGUAGGUUUCAAUUUAAAAGAAAAAGUUUGAAAUUAGUGAUUCUUUCAAUCACUUCCGGUUACGACCGGAAGUGAUAACGAAAAACAAAUUAAUGUGCAUGCACUAUACAAUCGAGAGAUCUAUAAUACCUGAGGGUUUCAUUUGUUCCUCUUUAGUCGUUUUUGAGAUUACCCCCGGACAAGAUGAUUUUUUGAAAAAUGGAAAUCGGACAUAUCCUACGAACGGAAGUAGAUUUUGUAAAAAUGAAAGAUCGUGUCUAAGGGUACUACAAUUCUCUAUCAUCUUCGUAAUUGGCAAGAAAAUCCAUUGAGCCAUCUCUGAGAAAUCUUGUUGAAAAAAUUUGAAUAUAGUAAAUUUUUCAACCACUUCCUGUUGAAAACGGAAGUGACGUACACUCAUAUACAAAAUAUAUUUAAGAUGGACUAUUGCUAAUCUAAAGCCCCUGCAAGUUUCAAGUGUAUAUCUAUACUCGUUCCGGAGAUAUCAGGGAAACAAAGUCUGAAUUUGUCCACACCAUAUCUAACGACCGGAAGUGAAUAUUACAAAAAUAUUUGAGGUUACUUUAGACAUUUAUAGUGCCUAUAAUAUAUGUAAAACUCAACUCAUUAACUUGUUUCAUGACCGAGAUUUAUGGCACUGAAAAAUGAGAGAAUGAUUGGUCUUUCUUUGAUAUAACCGGAAGUUGGAGAUUCAACUUCCGGUGGGGUCAACAUGUUUUGAGAAUUAGAAAGAGACCUAGUAAUUCGAUAUAGGUUUCAAUUUGAAAGAAAAAAGUUUGAAAUUGAUGAUUCAUUUAAUCACUUCCGGUGACGACCGGAAGUGACGGCGACAAAAUAUAUUACGUGCAUGCUCAUAGAAAAGAGAUCUAUCAUCCCUGAAAGUUUCAUUCGAUUAUCUUUAGUCGUUUUCAAGUUUACCCCCAGACAAGGUUGCUUUCAAAAACCGGAAAAUCGGACGUAUCUGACGAACGGAAGUGAAUUUUGAAAAAAUGAAAAAAAUAUGCCUAGAGGUACCAUCGUUCUCCAUAAUCUGUGAAAGUUUCAUGAAAAUCCAUCCAUCCGUCUCGGAGACGAAAGGGAAAAAAAAAAAAAAUAAUAAUAAACAGUAGAAUCACUAGAUGGUCUUCCGUUGGUAACGGAAGACCUUAACUAGAAACUUGUUGCCAUGGCAACAAGAAGGUCUUCCGUUCUUUCCGUGUCCAGUAGAUAACCUUAAAUUCUUCAAUUGUUAUAAAGUGGGAAAAAAAUAUUCGAAUAAUCUGGGGGAUUGAACCCGGGUCGCCCGCAUGAAAAUCCACUACGCUAACCAUUAGGCUAGCGAGGACCUCGCUUCAAAAUGAAAAUUACAAAUAUCUAGAGUUUGGUUUGAUCAAUUUAAAAACAAAUAUCAUAUUCAGCAUUCUAUAAAGAGUCUCUAUUUAUCUUACCUUUAUCAAAGAAAAACAUUAAAAAACAAAAAAUUUGAAAUUUUUUAAAUUCGCUUCCGGAAGCGACCGGAAGUGAUGACGACGUAGAAAAUAGUGAUUGAGCAAAUCUAUAAGUCAUGUUCUAUCAUCUCUAAUAAGUCUCCAGUUCAUAUCUUUAGCCGUUCCUGAGAUCACUCGCGGACAAAGUUCCAUUUGAAAGUCAGGAAAUUGUCCAUAACUUGGAACCGAAAUGGAAUUUUCCCAAUUUUUUUUGUGAUAAACAAAGUUCAUAAUAAAAUGCAUUUUUCCUGAAAGUUUCACUGAAAACCACUGUAUAGUUUUCGAGAAAACUCCUGCACAAAAUUUGGUCAAAAAAAUAAUAAUGAUAACUAGAAACUCAUUACUAGUAAUGAGUAGGUCUUCCGUUAUACUACUUCCUGUCGAGAUCGAAGAGUUCCAAUCGCAUAAAUAUUCCAUUCUACACCUUAAUAAUUCUCAACUAAUCAUACUCUUAACUUUCGACAAAAAUACCCAUGUUUGAGACAACUUCCGGUUUUUUGGUCGGCACUUCCGGUGGACAUAUUUUACAUGAACAAGACCUAAUCAUCAUCUGUAUUAGUCCCAAUAUCUGUCAAAACAAAAAAAAAACUUCAAAAAAUGACAUUUUUCAUAUCACUUCCUUUCACGACCGGAAGUGAUGGCUACGUACGAUUCUCACAUGAUGCAAACACACUGAUGACUGACUAUCAGUCUUGAAAACUUGAGACUUCAGUCAUUCACAUUUGCAGAGUAUUAGCUUGAACAAAUUCUCAUUUUGAAGACUGCAAAUCUCGCGACCGGAAGUAGAUUUCACCAAACUAUUUUACGUUAAUUUAGACAUUUGCAAUGUCUAUAACAUACAAGAAAAUCAUUUGUAAUACCCCAUAUACAAGUGAGAUUUAAGGCAAAGUCAAAAACUCAAUUUUUGCAGUUUUUCUCUUAAAAUCGGAAGUUGCCUUUUUUGCUUCCGCUAGGAUCAACAUAUUUCAAAACUACAAAAA
Long non-coding RNA from Ostrea edulis (European flat oyster), 7602 nucleotides. RefSeq lists it as uncharacterized. NCBI's taxonomy places the organism in Eukaryota, Metazoa, Mollusca, Bivalvia, Ostreida, Ostreidae. The transcript is spliced from 3 exons. The record is from RefSeq and is a predicted model, not a curated record.